RNAcentral lists this long non-coding RNA (8284 nucleotides) under Nicotiana benthamiana. RNAcentral describes it as "long non-coding RNA (NBEN_LNC032862)". Lineage: Eukaryota; Viridiplantae; Streptophyta; Magnoliopsida; Solanales; Solanaceae. The record is from RNAcentral.
AAAUGCAUGCACAAUCUGUGUACCCACUCGUCACCUUGAGUACACGAGUUUCACGUAGAACAAUUGAAUCAUAUCAAUACCAAUACUAUGGGGUAGUUCCCCCACACAAGGUUAGGCGAGACACUUACCUCAACUAGGCCAAUUUAAAACUCGAAUAUAGCUUUUCCCUUAAAAAUCACCUCCACACUGCUCAAAUCAAAUGAAAAUCAACUUAAUAUCAUCAAAAUAAUGCUAGGAAAAUCAAUUGCAAUAGAUAAAACUAAGUUCUUUACACUUUUCUCAAAAAGUCAACAAGAGUCAACCUGUGGUUUGCCUAGUCAAAACAUGUGUCCAGUAGAUUCCAACUACUCAUAAACCCAUGAGUUCAUAUAUGUAAUUAGUUUCAAAAUCCGAGUCCAAAUCGACUAACAAAACUCACUUUAUUAUUUUUCAAAAACUUGUCAAAUUUUCACUUGGUUUCAAAUGAUUUUGAUGUUAACAUCUAAGAUAUAUUGAUGGAAUAUGAUUAGAUAUAGAUUAGAAUCACUUACCCAAGGUUUUUAUGUGAAAAUCCACUCUCCUAAUCACCUCCUACAAGUCUAGGGUUAAAAAAUGAGAGAAUGAGUUCAAAAAUCCCGUCUCCCAGCCCUUUAAAUAGCUGCAGUGCCGCAUUUGCGACACAAUGCGAACCCUCACAAUUAUGUACCAGGGCUCACAUUUGCGAACCCUGAAAAUCUCAUGCAACAUUGCAACUGCGAGCUGGCCUUCAUCGCAAAAGCGAACAUUUGUUCGCAAAUGCGAACAAUGCUAAAUCAUGUUUCCUUCGAAAAUGCGAAGAGCUAGUCGCAUUUGCGAUAAUUGGACCUGUUCUGUCAUCUUGGCAAAUGCGACCCUGGUGUUCCCAAUCAUGACACUAGAACACCAGACACUAGCUUUUUGCAAUUUCAGUCCAAACCACUCCAGAACAUAUCCGAAACUUAUCUGAUCCCUCGGGGCUCCAUACCAAACCUCCACACAAGUAUAAAAAUAUCAUACUAUCUCAAUCAACGCGAUCAUAACAUAAAAAUAAUAUUUAAAGCUACAAAUUGGACACUAAAACACAUGAAUUUCAAAGUACCUAUCAAAUUCAAGAAUUUCUAAAGUUACAACUAAACAUCCGAAUCCUAUCAAAUCAACUCCAAAAUACACCAAAUAUUUCUAAAUUCAUAACACACCUUUUUCAAUCCCCUAAAUCGAAUUCUGAGUUUGAUAGCUAAAAGUCAACCUACGGCCAAACCUUCCAACUUUAAAUUGCCGAAUUUUAACAAAUCAACAUUAAUCAACCUACGGACAUUCAAAAUUAGUUCCAGAUAUACGCCCAAGUCCAAAAUCACAAUACAAAGCCAUCAGAGCCAUAAAAACAGAGUUCCCGGUUGUUUUUAAAAAAGACAUAGUUUAGUUAAUAUUUUUAAUUCAAACUUCUACGUCAAGACUCAAAGGGUCCAAAUCAACCCAAAGCUUCCCGGAACGAUACUAACUGACCUCGCAACUCAUAAAGUCAUAAAUACACGUGUGUGAAGUGUAAAAAGGAGUAAUGAGGUGCAAUUAUACAAUAUAACUGAUCGGGUCGUUACAAAUUUAUAGGUUACCUUCAAAGUUUUACAAGAACUCUCAAGGAUUUGGAUUUUAUCAAAAGAGGCACAAGGAUCCUUUUGAUCUUGGGGUGAGAAUCUACACCAAAUAACUAGCGUAAGCUUCCUUCUGAUUUAAAUGUUCUUCAAGCUUCUAAUCUCUUUAGUUGCCUUUGAGUGCUACUCAGCAAAGGAAGAUUCCAAUCUAUCCUUGUCAUUUUCAACUUGAUUGAAGGAGGCUUUCAAAAUCGCUAAUUCAGUGGUGGUUAUCUUCAAUUGUUGCUCCAAAACCCAUUUCUCUUCAGUGAUAGCGUCCUUUUCAAGUUGAAGACUUUCAAAUUGUUCCUAUCAAUUACCAGCUUCAGUAUGAAGCUCAAUAACUUGUUGAUCAGUCUAAGAUAUCCUACUCAUAAGCUCCAUAUCUGUCAAAUUGAUCUAUACAAAAAGUUAUAAACCUAGAAGAAAAGAAAGAAAUAUAAGAGAAUAAGGAUAUACCUUGAUAGUAGAAUGAAUGACAUCAUUCACGAAGGUUAAGGAGCUACGAGAUUCAAGUUUCUCCCUUUCCACGGGGCCUAUCAACGGUUUCGACCAUAUAGAAGCUCGACUUGAUUUCUUUAGCAGAUUCCCACCAUCGUAGACUUUAAUCAAAACUUUUCUCAUACCUUGUCUACCGCUAAAAAGUCACCUUUUUCACGAGAAGUAGCGACAAGAAUGACAAUAGGAGUGGCUGCAGGUACGAAAACUGAAGAAACAGAAAGAUUAAUACUAGUAGUAACUAGGGUCAUUGGAAGAUUGGCAAGUGAUGGCUCUUCAGAAACAAGGGCAAAAUCUUUUUCACCCUCAAACCUUGGGCGAAAAGUCUAUUAAUGAGUCUUGAGGGGGGAUUACCAGAAUGGUCCAUAUCUUUCAUCCUCAGAGAAGUCCAAAUGAACAUUCAAUGGUUCGUUAGUAAGUCUAAAAGGCACAUAGCCUGUACGUGGGUCCUGAGAAAUAAUGUCUUCUUCAUCUAAAACCACGUGUCUUCUGACUCGUGACUUCGUCACUAAGGAACCAUCUUCAUUAUCUCCUUCUUCUUCGGAAUCAAAGGCUUCAACAUUCUUCCUCUUAGAAGAAGAUACGCUUAAAAUUUGCUCCUAUGCAAAGCUAACAGAAAGCCCAGUAGAAGGAACACAAGUGCGGCUAAUACCACAAAUGGAAAACCCUAGAAACAAAAAAAAAACAAAAGGUAUUAAAGGAAAGGAAAAAGAAUAAAGGGAAAGAAAACCAUGGUAAUAAAAAAUAACAUCGCGAGUCUUCACUUUCCAUCCAAAUUUUUAAGAAAGAAAUAUCCAUGAUCUCUGGUCCAUGGGAGCCACAGUCAAUAUUUUUUCUAUCCAGUCACAGAAGACUGGGAUUUCUCUGAAAACUUCCAUGAUUGCUAAAAUACAAACAUAAAUGUAUGCGAGAAAAAUUGAAACAUUGAGAGAAACCAGGAAAUAAAGAAAAUUAGGCGUAAAGUUCCACUUCUCAGGGAAGAGCACAUUAUCAUCACGCACUAAGUCAUGAGUUGGAACAGUUACAAACUGGGUAUACUAACCACGAUCAUAGUCAUCCUCGAGGCUGACCAAAACUCUCUUGCUUCUUUCCACAAGAGAGAAAAACACCCUUGCGAAAGAGCUUUGGGAGUAUAAAUGGAGUAAGUGACGAAAAUUUAGAAGGAACCGAAACCAAAUUUGACGAAUAAUGAAGGCAAGAUACUGUCCUCAACAUGAUCAAACCUAUUUGGCCAAGGCAAACAUUGAAGUAACGGCAAAAUUCAAUGAUUAUUGGGUCAAUAGGAGGGUUGAAUCCUAAAGUAAAAGGGUAGGCACAAACAAAAAAAAUAACAUUCACGAUAAGAGGUAAUUUUAUCAUAAGCACUAAGGGUCACCACUAAGAAAUUUGGUUCCCAAUUGUAUUUACGACGAACUAAUGGAAUGAGACCAGAAGUGAUCAUACUAGGGCUAAUGAUCAGCAUGGUUAAGUGAUGCUAUAGAAGAGACUUGUUUUCUCAUACAUUCACAAUCUGGUAUGAAAGAAAAUUCCUGAGGAACAAUCUCAGACACAGUGGGUUCUCACAUAGGUUCAUUGUGAUCUUUCCCUCUAGAGAAAGAUCUAGGGAUAGUGGAAGUUCUAGCUCUAGAGUGGGAAUGUUGGCAGUAUUCCUUUAAGAAAGGGUAGAACUAUGGUUAGAUAAAAAGCUUGAGCUACGAAGUCUGCCACCUUUUAUACUUCUAGUUGGGGCAGAAGAGGGGGACGUUCAUCAACAAUCACUACUUUACGAGAAUUCAAUGAUGAAGAAGGGUUUGAAGAACGGGAAAUAUCUCUAAUGGUGAAAACACAGAAAGAGGGACAACUAAAAGAAGAGUUAGAAUAUGAAUGCAAGAGAGAAGAAGACGUUUUCAAAGUUGAUUAUUAUACGAUAUUCAUAGGGAAAAAACCAUCAUUAGAAACUGCCAUUAUGAACUAUCAUCAUGAAGUCGUCACUUUGCAACUGAUGCAGUCCUAGAAAACCCUAAAAAGGCACUAAAAAUUACAAAACCAAUAACAACGAGACACGUGUCCUGGGCAUUAAAUAUACGUGACAUACGUCUCAUCGUUUCUGAAGAAAGAAUUAUGAUAGUUGGGAAGAGGCGUCAAGACAUUGCCACCAUAAAUGAACUUACCACUUCCCAGAUAUUCAGUUGAGAGUAUUCAGAAAGUAGGGGGAACUAUCUGUAUUGUGGAAAAAAGGCAUGACACGUGGGCCAACAUCGAGGUGACAAGUAGCACGUAUCAGUAUGUCAAUAAAGAAAGACAGAAAGGCAAUAUAAAAUACCCACGAUGUUAGAGUAGGUACCCGAUCUAACAACUGAAAAAAGGAAAUAGGCAUGGGAUGCGUUAGGACCAUAAAAGGGGAAGAUUCAUGAAUCGGUUGUAAGUAAGAGAAGAAGAUGAAAUUCAGUUGCUUUUUGCAUUGUUAUUCAUUUUGGAGAGAUAAAGGGGUAUUUAUAAACCCCUCUAGGUAUCCGUUAGAAUAAACAGACCCAAUAGUUGUCUACAUGCACCUUUUAAAAUCAAUAGCCAUGUUUUUAAUAUAAAUAAAAUUAUUAAAAAUGUUUUAAUAAUUAAAUAAAUAUUGUUAAUUGAAUAGUAAAAAUAAUAGGUAACUAAGAAUAUUAAUUUUUGACCACUUAAUUUGUCCAAGUGGUCCAAGUGUCCAAUCUUGACUAUUAAUAUUAUAACUAAAUUUUAGUUUCCCUAAACACUUCUUCCUUUUUCUAUUUUUCCAAGGAGGGGUAAGUAUCUCCUCCUAAAGUUGACACAUCAACACUAACUAAUCUAGCAACGACAAUAACAAUAGCAAUAUGCCUAGUAAAAUCUCACACGUGUGGUUUGGAGAGGGCAAUAUGCACACAGACCCUACACCUAUCUUGUGAAGGUAGAUAGACUAUUUAUGAUAGACCUUCAAUUCAAGGGAAGCCUAAUCUCAGCAGUCAUAAGAAAAUAUGAUAGUGGAGAAGCAAUGAAAAAUGAAGCAGUAACAACAUUAAGAAAAAUAAGAUAUAACAGAAGCAAAAAUAACAGAUAGUAACUGAAAUAUGAAAAAAAGAAAAUACAGGAGUACCAACAAUAUUGUUGGUAUGGAGAUGAAAAACACGGGAUUACCUAUUAACCUACUAUCUUAUCCCUCGAUCUCCAUAACCUCCUAUUAAGGGUUAUGUCAUGCCUAAUCACAUCUUCCCGAUACCUUGUUCGCUUGCCUCUACCUCUCCUUCGUUCCAUCAUUACCAACCUCUCAAAGCUACUCAUGGAGAAUCUGUGGGUCUCCUCUUCACAUACUUCAACCACUUCAACUUCUAUUUUCGCAUCUUGUCCACCAUAGAGGUCAUUCUCCACCUUGUCCCGAAUGUCCUCAUUCCUAAUCAUAUCUCUCCUAGUAUUCUCACACAUCUAUUUCAGUAUCCUCUUUUAUGCUACUUCAUCUUUUGAACAUAAGAGUUCUUGUUAGGCCAAUACUCCGCCUCAUAUAAUAUAGUCGGUCGAACCACCACUCUAUAGAACUUACCUUUAAGUCUUGGUGGUGUCACACCUCCUUUUUCACUAUACACCCCCACAAAGGGGCGUAAAGGAGUUUUUCCACUUAAAGGACAAUCGGAACAGGAUUUAGUUUAUUAAUUAUUCAGAGUCGCCACUUGGGAGAUUAAUGGUGUCCCAAGUCACCGAUUUGAAUCCCGAACCGAGGAAAAAUAUGACUAUGUUACAGUCUGCGAACCAGAAAUCUGAGUAAGGAAUUCUGUUAACCCCGGAGAAGGUGUUAGGUAUUCCCGGGUUUCGUGGUUUUAGCAGGUCUCUUAACUAUUGUAUUUGGUUUUAUCUGAUUUUAUUACAUACUAACUUAUGUGCCUUUUAUUUAUAUACUGCUUUUACCAUUAUUUAUUUUAAAAGACUUGCGACGUCGUGAAAACACGUCUCUGACCACGUCACCAUUAAGGCACCCGUGGUUGUCAACACGUUUCGACUUCAUCGAGAUUUGGAUUUGGGUCACAUCAAUGCGCACCCGAGUUUAAGAAAGUAAUUUAAUUAAAUCGCACUUAAAGGUUCUAGCGUAAUAUUGUUUGGGANNNNNNNNNNNNNNNNNNNNNNNNNNNNNNNNNNNNNNNNNNNNNNNNNNNNNNNNNNNNNNNNNNNNNNNNNNNNNNNNNNNNNNNNNNNNNNNNNNNNNNNNNNNNNACCGUUGAAAUUCGCUAAACGACCCUUCCAAAUUCUAAUCAUUUUUAAUAACCAAUUAUUGAGGGCCCCACAAUUAUUCUUGUUCGGUGAGGCUCGUCUCCAUUUUUUAAACCAUAUUUAUCAUUAUUUGUUUUAUAAGAAUUGCAACAUCGUGAAAACGCGUUUAUAACCCCGUCGCCGUCAAGGCACCCGUGAUUAUUAAUGCAUUUCAACUUCGUCGAGAUUUGGAUUGGGGUUGCAUCAAUGCACACCCGAAUUUAGGAAAGUAAUUUAAUUAAAACGCGCCUAAAGAUUAUAUCGCAACAUUAUUUAGGGAAGGCCGUGAAAUUCGCUAAAAGACCAUCCCGAAUUCAAAAGAUUCUCAACCUUUAUUGAGGACCCCGCAAUUAUUUUUGUUUGGCGAGGCUCGUCUCAUUUUAUUUUAACAGGAUAAACCUAAGGGAUAACUAUAUUUUAUAUAUUUUUUUUAUUUUGUCUCUAAUAAAUAAAGAAAGAUCCUAAUUGAUUAUACUUAAAAUCAGGGCUUUAAGUUCAAGUUCGCGUCCAAACAAAAGGACGAACCUUUUAGUUUAAAACCCGCUACCUAACUCAAAACUCACAGCUGGCCAAAUAUCUAUAUUACGACAACGUCAUGUCCAGCUAUAACCCAUUCGAGUGACAUGCAAGUAAAUAACUAUAUGAAAAAAAAUCUCUAAACUUAAGAUAAUAACCGAAUAGAUCACAGUAUCAAAUCGUCACAUAACCAAUUAACAUUCAGCUAUAAUAAAACGAGUAGAAUCAAAUGCAAUGCCAUUAAGCCCAAUGCGCAAUAUACAGGGAAGGCCGAAUCUGAUUUUGAAGAAACUAUCCCUAUGUCAUCAAACUUUUACACUCAAUUUGCUGUAAAUUAUAAAGAAGAAUUAUCAAACAAAUAAAGGCAAUUACAUGCCUUUGUUGGCUGUUUCCUCCUCCAGAAAGUACACAUUGGAAAGAUCCCCAUGUAACAUUUUAAACACACGUAAAACAACAAUUCAAGCAGCUCAAUUACACGAAGUCAAAAUCAGCACUCCGUCGCUAGGAAUUUCUAAUUAUCCGAACAUUCUUUCAAUUAUAAAGGAACUUCACCCAGGUCAAAGAUCAUCUCAUUCAACUACAAAUAAUGGCUUUAGAAUGUGCAACUUCAGAUUCAGAAUAUGAACUAGAAAGAAUGAGAGAUGAAUCUUAGUUAAAUUAGACAAAAUUGAUUCACUCGACUAAAACCAUGUUUAAACAAAUUGGAGCCGUGGAAUCAGAAGCAGUAUGAAUCAAAAAACGGACCUCAAUGUCGACGUCAAUUCUGAUCAAUGACAGAACAUCCAGCAAAAUCUUAAACAAGCAAAUGAACCUACGAUCGGAGACCUCGGCAAGCGAACGGACUGACCGAACUUCGCCGGACGAACUUGAAUCUGACAGUAUCUCGGACGGAACCUCAAAUCGGCGGCAAAUCGGCCCUCUGACGACCUCUAAAUCAGCAAACUACAUCGGUAGCGAGACUCGAACACCACCGGAGAAAUCGAAAGGUUUGACUCCGAGUGGAUAGCGAUGUCGCAAAGAACUCGAAACAAACAGACCUCUCAAACGAACACCAUCAUUUAGGAAUCAAAAUUCAAACCGAAGAUGCAAAGCAAAAUUUCUGUUUUUCUACCCUUUUUUUUAAUGCAAACGCUGAACUGAAGUGCGUCAAUAGAAACCCAUUUCUGUAUGUAUUUUGCCUUCUAAAUUCUUAAUGAAAGUAGAAAAUUCAGAGAAGAAGCUAUUUCUAUGUGUGUCCUCAGAAUGAAGAUGAAGCAGAAUUUUUUAUCCUCCCUCCUCUCUAACGGAGAUUGACGUAUUUUGAAGGAAAACGUGAGGGGGGAGGCCCCCCCACAAUUGCACUGUUUUUGUAUUUUUCAGUGUCUCUUUUUUUUGCAAUUGUUUUCGUCCGUUUUCCCUUUUGUAAUUUUCUU